UUCAACUUUACAUUUAACCUCCAUCGUCAAUUUUUCUCCAUAAUUUUCUUCUUCCGCCUUCGUGCACGGUGGUCUAACCUCUGAACCCUAAUACCGAUUCUCCUUUUCCUUUUCCUUUUCCUCUUCUCAUUCUCAGAUGUCUGUAAAUUCCACGGCCUUUGCAAUCCAGUAGGAGGAGGUUCCACCGGAGCAUCCAGAGCCUGCACUUUGGAAUUAAUUUUGCAAGAGAUGGCAUGAACAGAAAAUAUUGGCCACCUCUUGUUGCUGUACAUAGUGAUUCUUAAGUUGCUCUCUGUGGCUUUCUAUUUUGGAGCACGGAUUGACCGAAACCAAAGCAAGGGGCGCUCAACAGGUGACAUAUCCAUUAGAAGUUUUGAGGUUACACAUGGCAGUUGACCCUGGGUUUCGAGCAACAUCCAAGGUUUGUUUACUUUUGCCCUACCUAUAUCUGAAAAUUGAAAAACCAAUCAUCAAUUGUACUUUAGUAUGGACAAUUAUUGGUUUCUAGAUUGCCUCAAGUAUGCUACGAGAGGAAGGCAUUACAUCUUUUACUACAGUGGUCUUGGACCGUCUCUUUUCUGCAGAGCUCCUUACAUUGCCUGUUGUGAACCUUUGCAUUUUUCACUUAUAGGCACUCAUUGUUUCUUUCUUGUGUUGGUAUUCAAUAAAAAUAAAUACCAUGUUCCUUAACUAUAAUUUUUGAGUAUACAAGGGUGUCUAAAACAGUCAAAGCCUUGCUUUCGGCUUCCCUAGCUAGCCUCAGUGAUGUUCUAUCCUUUGGACACUGAGAAUGAACGGUGCACCUUACAGGACAGUGUUUGAUUCUUUUGCAGGUAAUUUGUAUUAGUUGUUAUGUCUGAAGUGAUUUUAUAUUAUUAUAGUUGUAUUAGAUGUUCUAUCCUUUGGACGCAGAGAAAAGGCAGAUGCAAAUGAAGGAUAAUUUUGCAGGUAAUUUGUAUUAGUUCUUAUGUCUUGAAGUGAUUUUAUAUUAUUAUAGUUGGUUAUUAGUUGUUAUAAGUAAUUCUAAAGUGUGGCAAUGAUUAUUUAAGUGAAAUUUGGGAAGGUUUGGAGACUAAAAGGCUCUGACAUACAUGAUUUAUGUUCUUUGUCCUUACAUUUCAUGUCUUUCACAUUUUGAACUGCAUUCGUGGUUUUCGUAUAACUAUAACAGAGGCUACAGAGGCUUCUGUACUUUUUACUGCGAAACUACUUUUAAUUAUCUAUUUGCAAUAUGUUGGAUGUUGUUUUAGAAACUUACUUACAAGAGAGUAUAAAUGAUGAAAUAAACGGAUUUAUUUUGUUACAAUGCGAUGAUAAAAUCUAGUUGAGGAAUUUGACGUCUCUUCCUUUAUGUAAAAUCCUAACAAUAAAAAAUCAAGCAAAAGGAGGAGAAAAAGUUUGGAGAUUGGAAUCAUUUCCUAAAUUUGACUUGAUUUUUGACGCAGGUAUAUGGGGGCUGGUGCUGGAUAUAUUGUUUUUUUAGUGAUUUUUCACUUUUGUAUCCAUUCAUCUUUUUUCUAUUAUGGGAUCUGUCUUACAGCUCAUAUUUUUCUUACAUGAUAAAUGUUAUACAAUGAGAAAAAUCGAUUGUCCGGAAAUCAAUUUUUCUUAUUACACCUCAGGUUGAUGCCCCAAAUUUGGUAAUCAUAUUUGGUUUUUGUUCUUCUAA
Long non-coding RNA from Cucumis sativus (cucumber), 1669 nucleotides. RefSeq lists it as uncharacterized. The transcript is spliced from 4 exons. The record is from RefSeq and is a predicted model, not a curated record. Lineage: Eukaryota; Viridiplantae; Streptophyta; Magnoliopsida; Cucurbitales; Cucurbitaceae.